UUUCUGGUGGUCCAGUGGCUAAGACUCCACACUUUCAAUGCAGGGGGCCCAGGUUCCAUCCCUGGUCAGGGAA
Molecule: transfer RNA, 73 nt
Filed under: Bos taurus (domestic cattle)
Lineage: Eukaryota; Metazoa; Chordata; Mammalia; Artiodactyla; Bovidae
Also listed under: 5 other names
Rfam family: tRNA
About the family: Transfer RNA (tRNA) molecules are approximately 80 nucleotides in length. Their secondary structure includes four short double-helical elements and three loops (D, anti-codon, and T loops).
Source: Rfam by way of RNAcentral